This 301-nucleotide ribosomal RNA is filed under the name uncultured bacterium. RNAcentral's name for it is "bacterial SSU rRNA". It matches the Rfam family "Bacterial small subunit ribosomal RNA", at positions 467 to 767 of the family's 1533-position model. The record is from RNAcentral.
AAAUGACGGUACCUGACUAAGAAGCCCCGGCUAACUACGUGCCAGCAGCCGCGGUAAUACGUAGGGGGCAAGCGUUAUCCGGAAUUACUGGGUGUAAAGGGUGCGUAGGUGGUAUGGCAAGUCAGAAGUGAAAACCCAGGGCUUAACUCUGGGACUGCUUUUGAAACUGUCAGACUGGAGUGCAGGAGAGGUAAGCGGAAUUCCUAGUGUAGCGGUGAAAUGCGUAGAUAUUAGGAGGAACAUCAGUGGCGAAGGCGGCUUACUGGACUGAAACUGACACUGAGGCACGAAAGCGUGGGGA